Molecule: RNA transcript, 5705 nt
Organism: Astyanax mexicanus (Mexican tetra)
Lineage: Eukaryota; Metazoa; Chordata; Actinopteri; Characiformes; Acestrorhamphidae
Gene: prr16
Gene name: proline rich 16
Exons: 3
Source: RefSeq, a predicted model, not a curated record
CUAUGUUAUACCUGUAAAUGUCACCAGGUCACAGUGACUGUACUGUUAGCUAACUAAAGCUAGAUAACCUAUUUAGAUACUUUACAGUGUGCUGUUGGAAUACAUAUUUGAAUACAUUAACGUUAGCUAGCUAGCUAACGUAGCGUUAGCGUUAACUAAUAAUUCCCCACGAACCACACACACACAUACUUAUUCACACCUCAAAUGACCUCACUUAUUAACAAAUAAACCGCAAAUGAACAGAAAUUGGUUCGUUUCGAAUAAAAAUAUAUAAUAACGAGAGUUAUUCGCUAGCUGGUCGUCGACUUUUAGCUAAUUUAAAUAUUUUUUCCGUUAGUAUUCAAAAUCCCUGCUGCCGAUGCUGCUGCUUCGUCCAAAAUACAUCGCCGGGUCUGCGCAUGCGCAAGUGUCGGGACGCUUUCCUCCUCCUCCCCCCUCCCUUCUUCUCUCUGUCUCUCUCUCUCUCUCUCUCUCUCUCUUCAGCUUCUCCUGCAAUGUGUGUAAAGGAGGGAAGCGGCGGAGAGGAAAACACGGCGUUAAAAUGCGCGGAGAAAGUGCGCCGCGGUCGAUGAGCGGAUAACGGCCGCGCUCCUCCUCGGUUCCGGGGGGCUCCUGUCGAAGCAUGUCAGGGACAGGGGCGCAGGGGGAGGCGGAGGGGGUCUCUAAAGUUCAGGUGAAACGGCAGAUCAAGACCAUCGUGAAGGAUCUGGAAUGCAUCUUGGGCGACUUGAAGGAUGUGGCCAAAGAACUCAAAGAGGUUGUCCACGAGAUUGACUCCCUGACGUCAGACCUACAGCUGGAGGAGGAGAUGGCUGACAGCUCAAAGACAGACACGCUGAACAGCAGCUCCAGCAGUACCACCACCACCACCACAGCCUCCAGCAUAGAGAAAAUCAAGAUCUAUCCCGAAGACACCUUACUGCGACCCCCAUGCGUUAACCCCGGUGUGCUCACGGUCCUGAAGAGGCCGCACCCUCCUCUUCCGCCUCCGCGCCUCACGCCACUUCGGGCCGAGGACCAUGGCAAGAGCCUGUCCUCAGGGAACCUAGCCAGGGCUAACGGGGCACUCAUGCGGAAUGGCGUCUUCCCCACCAAGCCGAUAAACAUACCCAGCAGAGACUUGGCUUGCGGGCCUAAAAGUGUGACGGAGAAGGGGCUGAUGCCGAUGCCCCUUCUUAGGCACAAGAAAAGCCGCUGUCCCCAGGUGACACGGGAGCGCGUGCGAUUUAGCGAAACGGUCCAGUACCACGGCUACUGCCCGGACUGCGACCUGCAGUACGACAUGAACAACACGGAUAUGCACUUACACACGGAAUUGAUCGACAUCAAGCUUAGCCCUGUCCAUCAAUGCUCCUCCUUGGCGCCGUCCCACGUUCUGAUGGAAAAUGGCGGCCUGAGCCUCAGUCAUAGCUUUCCCCCUUCGACUCCACCUUUUGUGCCUCAUCACCCGACUCAGAAACCACAGAAAACCAUUCUACGCAAGUCCACCACGACAACGGUUUGAUAUAUAGAAUCACCCCAAAAGUGACAUUUUGUAAUCUUUCUAUUUUUUAAUUAUUUGAUGUCAUGAGCACUUUCAACUGCAGCGAAAACGGAUUACCUGAAGAUUGAUAAAAGAAGAUAAGGAUGACGAGAGAGGAUGAAAGCAACGUCUGGCUUCCUUCAACGGAACUCCAAAAAGAGUAAGUGAAUGGUCCCUUUAUACGGCGGAAGAGACACCAUUCGCAGACAACCUACUGAUCACCUCAAUUUCAUCAUGUGAUGCUCAGCGAGGCCUCAGCGCAUCUGACAGAGAGUCCUCAGAACCACUACCGAAUAAUUCACAGCCAGUGGCCCCAAAGGCGCUGUCUGAGGCGUGGGGAAAAUAAUAUGACAAAAUUAUGAAUCUUGAAUCAUCUACAAUCAGAGGCUGUAUUUAAUCAUAAUGUACAAAGGCCGAAAAAUGUUAUUUUUUCUCUUUAUGUGCUUAAAAUUCUACUAGAAGUCAAUGAGUUUUGCAAAGAGUUGCAAAGACAAAAAUCGUUUUUUAAAAGGACAGAAAGAGAGGCAGCUUUUCCACUACAGGGCCAAAUGAUUACAGAGACCAAGCCAUCUUCUUAGAUACAUGUGUCCGGUCUCACAUUUAUGAUGUGAUUUCACAGAGUUAGCAAAUUAGCAUGCUAACUAAAUGGAACAUGGAGAAUUGUGAGCUUUCACAGCAGAUACAAGCCACUCCCCACUUCUCCACAGCAGUUUUAAUACACUGACUACCAGCUUUACCCAACAUCGCUACCACAGCAUUAGCGCUCUCACUACCGGCCUCUUCCUACAUUGCUAAUGUCCUUGUAAAACAUUGCUAGUGCAGCAUUAGCAUGCCUACAACCACUUUAUUGCAGUGUUAGCAUGCCGGCUACCAACCUACCGUGAGGUUAGCAAGCCCCUGCUAGCUAAUCAGUCAUUAAGCCCAAACGUCAUUAAGCCCCUCCACUGAACAGUUCUCUUGCCCCAAGUACAGUUAGCUAAGUGUGCUGAGAAAACUCAGAACAGUUUGACCCUGUAAUGGAAAAGUGGCCAAAUAGAACCAAGCCUCUGACUAUCCUUCAGAUAAUUAUAUUUUUUCACUCGAUGUCUGUGUCCGUGAUACCAUUCUGAUUCUUUUCUGUAGCAGAAAUGAAUAUUCAAGAUCGACCCUAAACACGAACAUCAUUUGGCGUAGCUUACGUCAGUUGUAUUUGAAAAAGAGUGACAGGCCUGUGUUAUUGCUGCCAAAAAGGUCGAACAUGUUUGAAGGAUCCCCUUUAACAUGACGCCUACACAGUCGGAUCUAGCUGUUGGAUGUCAUUAGUGUCAAUAACCAAGUCAAGAAUAGCGAGUUCCUUCAGUUCCUCAGAUAUUAGCUUUGUACACCGUGGUUCACCUCAGAAAGAUGAUAAUGGAUGAGACAGACAAUGGGAAUUUAAGCAUCCAACACAGUAUAUGUUUUAUAAAGAGGAUUUUGAGAUAUAUAAAUAUAUAUAAUUAUAUAUAAAAGAGCAUAUUUUUGAUAUUUCUUGAGAUGAUUUUAAUAACGAUUGCUUUCCUUUUUCGCUGGACUGUAAUCUCUGCAGGGCAUAUAUUUACAUAAUUUAUUUAUGUACCAUUCAAAGAUAUAGAAGAUGUCUGGAGAUUUUCUUACAUUACAGAGGUGUGGUUAAUGUGUGGUUGUGUUUUAUUAAAAAAAAACAAAUCUGUUCUUUUAAUGUACAUUCCCAAUACAAAAACACUGGAACAUUAGGAAGGCCUGCCAUGCAUUAUGGGAACAUGCACUUGCUGUCCACUUAAUUGGAAAAGAACACCUAUCUUGUUUUUACUUGCUGUCCACCAUUUAUGAACUCCACCUACCUUAUUGAUUGAUUAUAUAGGUGCACAAUUACAGACUGGGUUCAGUGCUGGGCUUAGAGAUGGAUCACCCUGCAGGAUUUAGCUCUGUCCCUAAACAUACACAUCUGACUCAGGUUAUGAAGGAAUUGUGGCCGGAGUGGUCCAGUGCAGUAAAGUGCUGUUAAUAUGAUUCAAGAUCGCUGGUUCGAAGCUUGGAUUAUGGAUUAUGCUGCUUGCCAUCAGCAGCCAGAGUCUGAGAGAGCAAAAUUGGCCAUGCUCUAUGUAUGUGGGUAGUGAUGACAAUUAUUGGCACUUACAGUGUGAUGUGUUACCUGGGAAUCUGGCACUUUCCUCCGAAUGCAUUAGCUGCCUGAUAAUACUAAAGCAACAUUUCAGAUAGAAGCAGAGGCUGUGGCUGGCUUCACGUGUAUCAUUUUUUUUUUUUUUUUGUGCAAGCAUUGCUAGUGAUCAAAUGAGUUCAUUUGAACAGGGAAUUCAUAAUUGACCUUUAAAAAACACUGGGUAGCAAAUGAGUCUAAAACUUGUUAAAAGAGUAUUUUAUUUAUGUAUUUAUUUGAUGUAUGUAGCACAUUUUCAGAAUCCAAGGCCAGUUAAACAAAUUUCUUUUCCAGUAUUUCAAGAAGAUUAAAAGUAUUUAGUGAAGGGGGAAGGUCCAGUUCACAUUUGAAAUCAGGCACUGAAGAGCAUUCACAAAGAGAUUGGAGAAGUGCAUUUCAGAGUGCAACACACUAAAUGACCUGCCACCCACUGAGGAGAGCCUGGUAUGAGGUACAGUGAGCAGAUUGCUGUCAGAGGAUCUGAGAGUGUGAGAGGAUGUAGAAAGAUGUAAAGAUGGUGGAAUUCUUAAAGAUAAGGAGCAAGACCAUGAAGGACUUUGAAUAUGAGAAAGAGAAUUCUGGAUUUGAUGAGAGAAGAGACAGGCAGCAAGUGGAACUGGGUGGUAGAUCUCCAGGACUAGGAUUGAGCAACCCUGCUCUAGAGCAUUUCUGUAGAGCAGUUUUACUCAGCAGCCCUCUGCUCCAGGGGUGUCCGAUAUUGCCCACCAAGGACUAGCGAGGUGGCAGGUUGUCAAUCAAUCCAUAUUGUCAUCAGUUGUUUGAAGACUGACAUAUUGAUUACACAAGAGGAAUCGGGUGUGCUGUUGUUUGAAGAAUGGUUUAGAAUGAAAACUGCAGCCACAACACCCCUUGGCGGAUAAGUGUGGACACCCCUGCGCUCUAGUCCAUUUAUUUUGGUCAGUUUCUGGUGGGCUAUUCCCAGAACAGCAGGGACACUGACAAGGUAAAACCUGAGUGUAUCAAGCACAGCGGGGCUGCAGGGGCUUUUAACAGGUCAGUUUCUCUGGUGUGGAUGAGGGUGGUCCACCAUUCAAAAUCCAGCCAAGAGCAGCUCUGUAGAGAGCAGUGUAGCAUACUAUGGCAUGCUAGAAGUCAUGACAGUGGUUGCCAGAUAAAUAGGACAUUCUGUUUUUGAGGUUUUGUGGGCUUUUAACAUUUUUCACUCUAAAGAAUCGCAUGUGAAUUGGUUUAACAUAGCCAACAAUACAGAAGGCAUUACCACCCACAGUGGACAUUGCAGUGGGUUGCAUUGACCAUUUAGAAUUGUCCAUGCAAACAUACAAGCAGCUCUAGCUUUUGAUAUGUCAUUGUAUAUAAGCUAUAGUCUAUGACUGUGCACCAGCUAGGUGGAUAUAUAAGGUAGUUGUUUCCAAUAAAGUGGCUCGCAAGUGUAUAAAUGUGCUAUUUUAUAAAGUACAUGUACCCCCUAAGACAUGAAUAGCUUGAUACCACUGUUCUGUUUCCAGAAAUGUUAUUUAUUUUGUUGCAGAUUGUGUGCAAUAGUGGCAAACCAUUUACCCCAGUUACAAAUACUUGGUAUCUCUUUUGGGAACAUAACUGAAAAGAUCAAGUAGGUAAAAACAUGAUGAUCACACUGUGUUUUCUCAAGUGUUCUCUGGAGCUGGUGACGGUAUUGGUUGGCAGUCAUCCUCUUGGCAUUUUUCCUUUACAUCUGUAUUCAUUCUCUUCUGAGCCAAAUGCCAGGUGUAAAGACGAACACGAUCAGCUGAAAUUAGACAACCAUAAAAAUGUGCGGAACCAUUUGUGGGUUUUUAAGACGUCGUUAAUCUUUGCACUUUGCACUGUAAAUGGAAGUCUUUAUACAGUGGGAGAUGAGUCCACUUUAAUAUGUGAAAUACAGAAUGAUUUCAAAGAAAUAUGGCUUGGUCUUUUUAUGUGUGUUUGUGUGGCUGUACAGUACGUGUUUAACCCUUUUAAGACCUUUUUAUAACACAGUAAAUCCAGCAUAAUGCCAUACAGUAAAUGUAUUAUAAUAGCAAAAUUAUG